RNAcentral lists this long non-coding RNA (2708 nucleotides) under Oncorhynchus kisutch (coho salmon). RNAcentral's name for it is "lncRNA (ENSOKIG00005041201.1)". The record is from RNAcentral. Lineage: Eukaryota; Metazoa; Chordata; Actinopteri; Salmoniformes; Salmonidae.
CAGUCGUUUAUAACACACACUUGGCUGUUCCUGUUUCCAGGGCAACGUCACAAUUGCCGUGGUGAUGGGAAGUGACACGUGUGAAAUCAUCUCGUCUCGCCACACACACACACACCCUCUCGUCUCUCCACCUUGUGAUUACCUCUCCGUCUGAGGAGAGACAGAAGAGGGAUAGGAAUGAAUGAAUGUAUCAUUGUGUGUGUCUGAGUGGUGUUGAAUCACGAGCCGCGUCCCUCUCCUCCUCUCUUCCCUUGUUACCCAGACAUCUCCUUCAUUGAUUAGUCUCCAUCAGAGGAGAGACAGAUGGAGGGGGAUGCACCGCUGUGCUGUCUGUUUAGGGAAUAGAGAGGGAGGUGGAAUAUAUGAGAGGGAGGGAGAGAGAUGGUCAGCGGGAAGAAGGGAGAGAUGGAUGGAGGGAGAGGGAGGAUGGGGGAGAGGGGGCUGCACCGCUGUGCUGUCUGGGAAUAGUGGCAUUUAGAGAGGGAGGUGGACUAUAUGAGGAGGCGGGAGAGAUGGUCAGCGGGAAGAAGGGAGAGAUGGAGGGAGAGAAGGCCGGAGGGGGGGGGGGGGGGGGGGGGGGGGGGGCGGAGGGAGAUGUGGGCCGGAGGGAGAUGUGGGCCGGAGGGAGGGGGAGAUGGGGGAGAUGGGGGGGAGAUGGAGGGAGGGGGUAGAUGGGGGAGAUGGAGAGAGGGGAAUGGGAGUGAUUGGGUCUUUUUUUGUUUUGUUAGUCUGGGUUAGUAAGUGUGUCUCUGUGUUCUAGAUGGAGUUGGAGCUGGAGGUUAUGAAGAAGCAGCAAGACUCCGUCGCCGAGGGCAACCCCUUAGCAACGAACGAGGAAGUCAACACACUCCGGCUGAAGAUUGAGGAGUUGGAGGGAGAGCGACAACGUCUGGAAGAACAGAACAAUGUUCUAGAGCUGAGGCUGGAGAGACACAACUUACAGGUACACAGUCGUGUGUGUGAGGACUCGACAUACAGGGCUGCUCUCACCUGUCAAUCAUCCACGUCAGGGCUGCUCUCUGGCCUGGUAUAUCCAUGUGAUAUAGCCUACACCUUCACAGUAAAUCCAUGUGAUAUAGCCUACACCUUCACAGUAAAUCCAUGUGAUAUAGCCUACACCUUCACAGUAAAUCCAUGUGAUAUAGCCUACACCUUCACAGUAAAUCCAUGUGAUAUAGCCUACAGUAAAUCCAUGUGAUAUAGCCUACACCUUCACAGUAAAUCCAGGUGAUAUAGCCUACACCUUCACAGUAAAUCCAUGUGAUAUAGCCUACAGUAAAUCCAUGUGAUAUAGCCUACACCUUCACAGUAAAUCCAGGUGAUAUAGCCUACACCUUCACAGUAAAUCCAUGUGAUAUAGCCUACAGUAAAUCCAUGUGAUAUAGCCUACACCUUCACAGUAAAUCCAGGUGAUAUAGCCUACACCUUCACAGUAAAUCCAUGUGAUAUAGCCUACACCUUCACAGUAAAUCCAUGUGAUAUAGCCUACAGUAAAUCCAUGUGAUAUAGCCUACACCUUCACAGUAAAUCCAUGUGAUAUAGCCUACACCUUCACAGUAAAUCCAGGUGAUAUAGCCUACACCUUCACAGUAAAUCCAGGUGAUAUAGCCUACAGUAAAUCCAUGUGAUAUAGCCUACACCUUCACAGUAAAUCCAUGUGAUAUAGCCUACACCUUCACAGUAAAUCCAUGUGAUAUAGCCUACACCUUCACAGUAAAUCCAUGUGAGAUGGCCUACAGUAAAUCCAUGUGAUUUAGUCUACAACUUCACAGUAAAUCCAUGUGAUAUAGCCUACAGUAAAUCCAUGUGAUAUAGCCUACACCUUCACAGUAAAUCCAUGUAAUAUAGCCUACACCUUCACAGUAAAUCCAUGUAAUAUAGCCUACAGAGAAGCCUAAUUACCAUGUCUAAACGGUCACGUGGAAUUUGACUGUCUUCAUGACUAGUGACCUCCGGUGUGGCGGUAAUAUGGUCACCAUAACAGCCCUAGUUUCAACCCAACUCAUCCUCUCUCUGUGUGUGUGUGGAUCUUAAUAGAAUCAGUCCUACUGUUGUCCCAGUCCUGAUGGUCCCUAAAGCCACACAGAGAUUAGAUUCCCUAUUCCACAGCAGUGAUGGGACACUAUCAACUAGAGAGCGUUUUAAAUCAGAGUGCUAGUUUAGAGUCUGCCUACAUGUCUGGAGGACCUGUCUGGGGUAGACAUGAAGGGUAGCUUUUUCUGUCACUUUCUCUCUGUCACACACACACACUUCCUGUCCCUGUGUGUUCUGGUCACACACACACACACUUCCUGUCCCCGUGUGUUCUGGUCACACAGACACUUCCUGUCCCCGUGUGUGUUCUGGUCACACAGACACUUCCUGUCCCCGUGUGUGUUCUGGUCACACAGACACUUCCUGUCCCUGUGUGUUCCGGUCUAAUUGUCAGAUCUUUCUGGCCUCAGGUUCCAAACCAUUUUCUAACAGUUACUGUGAACUCCACUGUUUCUCUGUCUCUGUCUCCCUCUCACCCUCACUAUUUUCUCCCCCCCUUCAUUAAAAGAGAAGAUGGUGUUCCUCUCUACUUAUUUAGAUCACUAAUGACUGGGUUUUCCUUUCCUCUUUAAAGAUACCAAGACACACAGAGACACCGACACACACACUGAGACACCGACACACACACACUCAGAGACACACAGACAAACACACAUCCUUCCAUUUGUCCAAUU